CUUGCUCUCGGGUGACGAGUGGCGGACGGGUGAGUAAUGUCUGGGAAACUGCCUGAUGGAGGGGGAUAACUACUGGAAACGGUAGCUAAUACCGCAUAACGUCGCAAGACCAAAGAGGGGGACCUUCGGGCCUCUUGCCAUCAGAUGUGCCCAGAUGGGAUUAGCUAGUAGGUGGGGUAACGGCUCACCUAGGCGACGAUCCCUAGCUGGUCUGAGAGGAUGACCAGCCACACUGGAACUGAGACACGGUCCAGACUCCUACGGGAGGCAGCAGUGGGGAAUAUUGCACAAUGGGCGCAAGCCUGAUGCAGCCAUGCCGCGUGUAUGAAGAAGGCCUUCGGGUUGUAAAGUACUUUCAGCGGGGAGGAAGGNNAUAAGGUUAAUAACCUUGUCGAUUGACGUUACCCGCAGAAGAAGCACCGGCUAACUCCGUGCCAGCAGCCGCGGUAAUACGGAGGGUGCAAGCGUUAAUCGGAAUUACUGGGCGUAAAGCGCACGCAGGCGGUCUGUCAAGUCGGAUGUGAAAUCCCCGGGCUCAACCUGGGAACUGCAUUCGAAACUGGCAGGCUGGAGUCUUGUAGAGGGGGGUAGAAUUCCAGGUGUAGCGGUGAAAUGCGUANAGAUCUGGAGGAAUACCGGUGGCGAA
RNAcentral lists this ribosomal RNA (646 nucleotides) under Klebsiella sp. RNAcentral describes it as "bacterial SSU rRNA". It matches the Rfam family "Bacterial small subunit ribosomal RNA", at positions 75 to 719 of the family's 1533-position model. The record is from RNAcentral. Lineage: Bacteria; Pseudomonadati; Pseudomonadota; Gammaproteobacteria; Enterobacterales; Enterobacteriaceae.